UAACACAUGCAAGUCGAACGAAGUAGCAAUACUUAGUGGCAGACGGGUGAGUAACACGUAGUCAACCUACCUCAGCGUGGGGGAUAACUAGCCGAAAGGUAGCUAAUACCGCAUACGAUCGCUCAGUGGCAUCAUCGAGCGAUGAAAGGAGCAAUCCGCGCAGAGAGGGGACUGCGUCCCAUUAGUUAGUUGGUGGGGUAAUGGCCUACCAAGACUCCGAUGGGUAGCUGGCUUGAGAGAGCGACCAGCCACACUGGAACUGAGACACGGUCCAGACUCCUACGGGAGGCAGCAGUGAGGAAUUUCCCGCAAUGGGGGAAACCCUGACGGAGCGACGCCGCGUGUGGGAAGAAGGCCUUCGGGUCGUAAACCACUGUCGAGGGGGACGAUAUUGACGGUACCCCUGGAGGAAGCCCCGGCUAACUACGUGCCAGCAGCCGCGGUAAGACGUAGGGGGCAAGCGUUGUCCGGAAUUAUUGGGCGUAAAGCGCUCGUAGGUGGAUCGGUAAGUCUGCAAAGAAAGACCCGGGCUCAACUCGGGGAAC
This 545-nucleotide ribosomal RNA is filed under the name uncultured bacterium. RNAcentral describes it as "bacterial SSU rRNA". It matches the Rfam family "Bacterial small subunit ribosomal RNA", at positions 49 to 622 of the family's 1533-position model. The record is from RNAcentral.